CUGUUUUUCAAAAACAUGUCCUUUUGAUAAUGAUUUAAGGUCUAACCUGCUCAAUGAUUAAUUAAAUAGCUGCAGUAUUUUGACUGUACAAAGGUAGCAUAAUCAUUAGUUUUUUAAUUGGAAGCUUGUAUGAAUGGUUGGAUAAGAAAAAAACUGUCUGUUUAAAAUUUUAUAUGAAUUUUAUUUUUAAGUUAAAAAGCUUAAAUUUAGUUAAAAGACGAGAAGACCCUAUAGAGCUUAAUUAAAUUUAAUUUUUUUUUAUUUAAGAGUUUUAAUUAGGAAAAUUUAAAUUUAAUUUGGUUGGGGUGAUUUUAAAAUUUAUAUAAUUUUUAAGUUUUUUUUUCAUUGAUUGAUGUUAAAUUGAUCCAUUUUUUAUGAUUAAUAGAUUAAGUUACCUUAGGGAUAACAGCGUAAUUUUUUUGGAGAGUUCUUAUUGAUAAAAAAGAUUGCGACCUCGAUGUUGGAUUAAAAUUAACUAUUGGCGCAGAAGUUAAUGGGUUAGGUCUGUUCGACCUUUAAAAUUUUACAUGAUCUGAGUUUAAAUCGGUGUGAGCCAGAUUGGUUUCUAUCUUUAAUAGGUUAAUAUGUUUUAGUACGAAAGGAUUAAAUAUUAAUAAAAAUUAUUUUUUAAGAUAAAUUUUAAAAUUGUUAUUUUGGCAGAUUAGUGCUUUAAAUUUAGAAUUUAAUUAUGUAUUUUAUACAGAUAAUAUUUGACAUGGAAAGAUAUAAUUUUAUUAAUAAUAAGAAGUUUAAUUUUAGUUGUAUGUGUUUUAGUUGGGGUAGCUUUUUUAACGUUAUUAGAACGUAAAGUUUUAGGAUAUAUUCAAAUUCGU
RNAcentral lists this ribosomal RNA (833 nucleotides) under Pilocnema sp. NLG-2014. Its description in RNAcentral is "partial 16S ribosomal RNA". The stretch from base 1 to 596 matches the Rfam family "Bacterial large subunit ribosomal RNA", at positions 1800 to 2925 of the family's 2925-position model. Lineage: Eukaryota; Metazoa; Arthropoda; Insecta; Coleoptera; Hydrophilidae. The record is from RNAcentral.